CCCUUAGACGUUCUGGGCCGCACGCGCGCUACACUGACCAGUGCAACAAGCAUCCGUCCUUGGCCGACAGGCCCGGGCAAUCUUUGAACGCUGGUCGUGAUGGGGAUAGACUUUUGCAAUUUUUGGUCUUCAACGAGGAAUUCCUAGUAAACGCAAGUCAUCAGCUUGCAUUGAUUACGUCCCUGCCCUUUGUACACACCGCCCGUCGCUCCUACCGAUUGAACGUUCCGAUGAAUACCAUGGAUUGAGAGUCUGAAUGGGUUCGCCUAUUUCUGCUUCUCGAGAAGUGGAGUAAAUCUUAGCGUUUAGAGGAAGGAGAAGUCGUAACA
RNAcentral lists this ribosomal RNA (329 nucleotides) under uncultured eukaryote. RNAcentral's name for it is "partial 18S ribosomal RNA". It matches the Rfam family "Eukaryotic small subunit ribosomal RNA", at positions 1470 to 1796 of the family's 1831-position model. The record is from RNAcentral.